Molecule: ribosomal RNA, 578 nt
Filed under: uncultured bacterium
Lineage: Bacteria
Description: bacterial SSU rRNA
Rfam family: Bacterial small subunit ribosomal RNA
Source: RNAcentral
AAUCAACGCUGGCGGCGUGCCUAACACAUGCAAGUCGAACGAGAAAGUGGAGCAAUCCAUGAGUAAAGUGGCGCACGGGUGAGUAACACGUGACUAACCUACCCUGGAGUGGGGGAUAACUGAGGGAAACCUUAGCUAAUACCGCAUAAUACCUACGGGUCAAAGGAGCAAUUCGCUUUGGGAGGGGGUCGCGGCCGAUUAGUUAGUUGGCGGGGUAAUGGCCCACCAAGACAGUGAUCGGUAUCCGGCCUGAGAGGGCGCACGGACACACUGGAACUGAGACACGGUCCAGACUCCUACGGGAGGCAGCAGUGGGGAAUUUUGCGCAAUGGGGGAAACCCUGACGCAGCAACGCCGCGUGGAGGAUGAAGUACUUCGGUACGUAAACUCCUUUCGAUCGGGACGAUAAUGACGGUACCGGAAGAAGAAGCCCCGGCUAACUUCGUGCCAGCAGCCGCGGUAAUACGAGGGGGGCAAGCGUUGUUCGGAAUUAUUGGGCGUAAAGGGUGCGUAGGCGGUUUGGUAAGUCUUGUGUGAAAUCUCCGGGCUCAACUCGAAGACUGCACGAGAAACUGCCG